CGCAGGGGAGACCUUUACUGGAUGCAGCCAGCAUUGGAUUCUCUUAGACACAAUUACAGUUUAGCUUAUACAGGCAGGGAAUAUCUGGUUUAGAUUAGAGGUUGGAUGAUUAAUUAGGGCCAAUUUCAAGUUUAUAACAAAAUCGGUAAACUGCAUUUGUGGAGGCCGAUUACAUUGCAUUCCACGAAGACACUGUGUGGCAGGGUGGCCACCUGAUACGCGAGUGCAGCAAGGAGCCAAGUUUUCUCCAAAAUGAAGAGAAAGAAGGACAUCAUGUCCUUCUUCCAAAGAAAAGACAAGGCAGACAGUGAGACAGAGCCAGAUGGUUCAGCAGUAGAGAGAGCAGAGAGCCUGCAGAGAGUGAGCAGGAAGACUUGUCCAUUGGAGAGCCUGAGGGUGAAGGCAUAGUAGAGCAGGAAAGUGAGGCUGAGGUAGAGGAUGAGGCUGAGAGUGAGACGCCAACAGAGGAGCCUCGUGUGUCCACAAGCAGUGGAGCGUCAGAUAUCACCAAAUCCCGGGAGGAACCACCGGUGCAGCCAAUGAUGAACUUAUACCCAAGAACUCUGAUGGGGGACCAGAGGAGGAGCUUCAAGGCGGCCUGGUACCAUAUCCACCCCUAGGCCAAGCAUAUGACGGUGCUUCCGUUAUGAGUGGCAAGCAUUCAGGCGUCCAGGCACACAUUGAAGAACAAGCAAAGCCUUUUACAUCCACUGCAGUGCACACUGUCUAAACUUAAUUUUAGUGGAUAUAGUCAAAGCUGUCCCUGAGGUCGGACAGUUCUUCUGCUUACUAGAAAGACUUUACGUCUUCACAUCCGGGUCAUAUGUGCAUCAAAAAUGGCUUAGCAUACAAAAAGAGAUGUACCCAGGUGCACCUAGAGAGCUUCAGAGACUAAGUGACACUAGCUGGGCAUGUCGAUAUAUGGCUCUACAUACUAUUAUGGAUAGAUUACCUGCCAUUAAGCGAGUUCUGCAAGAUAUAGUCCAAGAACACAAUGGUGACAGAUCUGUUGAGGCACGAGGUCUGCUUGCACAGAUAGAUUUACAAUUCAUUGUGUGCCGUGGUACACUCCAUAAAGUGUUUGGAGAAGCAGAAUUUCUAUCAGAUAUGCUACAGUCUUCAUCACUUGACCUGUCAAAGGCUGUUGAUUUAGUUGAAGCCUUAGUUCAAACUUUGAAUGACUACAGGGAUGAGUCAUUUUUUGAUGACCUAUGGAAUGAAGUGUUGAACACAGCUGAGCAAUGUGAUACUGCAAUACACCCCCCUGCAAAACGACCAAAAAAGCUAAGCUUCAAUUUAAUGGAGUCUGUGUACUCAGUACAGUGGGUCAGAGGUCAGAUUCAGAACAAGAAAAAGGCAGUUUUCGUACAACCCUUUUUUAGAUCAUAUGCUCAAUGAGCGUAACAGAAGGUUCCCUAUCAAACACUGUGACAUAAUGAAUGGCAUCCAAACUCUAAACCCUACAAGUGACGUGUUUCUCAAAGAGAAGUCCCGGUUUCCAUUUGCUAGAAUGUAUGAAUCAAAUAUUGAGGACUUGGGACAUGAACUACAGCAGUUCAGAAGAAUUUUAGAGAGGAAAAUACAGUGGCAUGCAGAGACCCUCCAGUGUAGUAGAGCUGGCAUUAUUCAUUGAGCCUUAUAAAUAAGUUUUCUUUGCGCUCUUUAAACUGUGCAAGAUAGCUGUUUCAAUCCCUGUUAGUACUGCUUCUUGUGAAAUACAUUUUUCUGCACUAAAACUGGUGAAAACGUAUCUCAGGUCUACAAUGUCAGAUGACAGAUUAAACAAUUUAGGUGUAUUAAGUAUUGAGUCAAGGAGGGCAAAGGCUUUGAGUCUAGAUUAAUUUGCUGAUCUUUUUGCAAAAAAACACAAAAACCGGAGAAUACAGUUGAUGUGACCUGAUACUGAAUAUGUAAUGCAAAUGAAAAUUAUAAUGGAAAUGCAAAUAAAUUGUUGAAUGAUUAUGAUGGUCUUUUGCCUGCUAAUGCCUGCAAUGCAGUGAAGAAAACGAUAUGACAACAAUAACGUCUAAUGUAACUGGCCCCAGCUUGGCCCCCCCAGUUGAAA
Molecule: long non-coding RNA, 2065 nt
Organism: Oncorhynchus tshawytscha (Chinook salmon)
Lineage: Eukaryota; Metazoa; Chordata; Actinopteri; Salmoniformes; Salmonidae
Source: Ensembl